GGGGAUUUAGCUCAACGGUAGAGCGCUUGCCUAGCAAGCGCAAGGCCCUGGGUUCGGUCCCCAGCUCCA
Molecule: transfer RNA, 69 nt
Filed under: Rattus norvegicus (Norway rat)
Lineage: Eukaryota; Metazoa; Chordata; Mammalia; Rodentia; Muridae
Rfam family: tRNA
About the family: Transfer RNA (tRNA) molecules are approximately 80 nucleotides in length. Their secondary structure includes four short double-helical elements and three loops (D, anti-codon, and T loops).
Source: Rfam by way of RNAcentral